This 425-nucleotide ribosomal RNA is filed under the name uncultured bacterium. RNAcentral describes it as "partial 16S ribosomal RNA". It matches the Rfam family "Bacterial small subunit ribosomal RNA", at positions 354 to 796 of the family's 1533-position model. The record is from RNAcentral.
GUGGGGAAUCUUGCGCAAUGGGCGAAAGCCUGACGCAGCCAUGCCGCGUGAAUGAUGAAGGUCUUAGGAUUGUAAAAUUCUUUCACCGGGGACGAUAAUGACGGUACCCGGAGAAGAAGCCCCGGCUAACUUCGUGCCAGCAGCCGCGGUAAUACGAAGGGGGCUAGCGUUGCUCGGAAUUACUGGGCGUAAAGGGCGCGUAGGCGGACAGUUUAGUCAGAGGUGAAAGCCCAGGGCUCAACCUUGGAAUUGCCUUUGAUACUGGCUGUCUUGAGUACGGGAGAGGUGGGUGGAACGCCGAGUGUAGAGGUGAAAUUCGUAGAUAUUCGGAAGAACACCAGUGGCGAAGGCGACUCACUGGCCCGUUACUGACGCUGAGGCGCGAAAGCGUGGGGAGCAAACAGGAUUAGAAACCCGAGUAGUCC